This 508-nucleotide ribosomal RNA is filed under the name uncultured bacterium. RNAcentral's name for it is "partial 16S ribosomal RNA". It matches the Rfam family "Bacterial small subunit ribosomal RNA", at positions 30 to 523 of the family's 1533-position model. The record is from RNAcentral.
AUUGAACGCUGGCGGCAUGCCUUACACAUGCAAGUCGAACGGCAGCGGGGGAGAAGCUUGCUUUUCCUGCCGGCGAGUGGCGAACGGGUGAGUAAUACAUCGGAACGUGCCCUGUAGUGGGGGAUAACUAGUCGAAAGAUUAGCUAAUACCGCAUACGACCUGAGGGUGAAAGUGGGGGACAGCAAGGCCUCAUGCUAUAGGAGCGGCCGAUGUCUGAUUAGCUAGUUGGUGGGGUAAAGGCCUACCAAGGCGACGAUCAGUAGCUGGUCUGAGGGGACGAGCAUCCAAACGGGGACUGAGACACGGCCCAGGCUCCUACGGGAGGCAGCAGUGGGGAAUUUUGGACAAUGGGCGAAAGCCUGAUCUAGCAAUGCCGCGUGUGUGAAGAAGGCCUUCGGGUUGUAAAGCACUUUUGUCCGGAAAGAAAUGGCUCUGGUUAAUACCUGGGGUCGAUGACGGUACCGGAAGAAUAAGGACCGGCUAACUAUGUGCCAGCAGCCGCCGUAA